This 714-nucleotide ribosomal RNA is filed under the name uncultured fungus. RNAcentral's name for it is "partial 28S ribosomal RNA". It matches the Rfam family "Eukaryotic large subunit ribosomal RNA", at positions 24 to 664 of the family's 3401-position model. The record is from RNAcentral. Lineage: Eukaryota; Fungi.
CCCGCUGAACUUAAGCAUAUCAUUAAGCGGAGGAAAAGAAAACAACUGUGAUGCCCUCAGUAACGGCGAGUGAACAGGGCAAAGCCUAUGCUUGAAUCCGUGGUGGAUGGAACCGGAAGCCACGGAAUUGUAGUGCAAAGGGCGGAUUUGCAGGGUUCUGGCAGCCGGAUAAAGCGACUCCCGAAAGAUCCACCAAAGAAGGCGAUCGUCCUGUCCGUCCGGCGCGCCAGGAUUCGCAACGCUUUCCGUCCCUCAGAGUCGUGCAGUUUGAGACUGCUGCACAAAUCCGCAGGUGUAUUCCUGCGAAGGCUAAAUAUUGCACCGAGACCGAUAGCGCACAAGUACCGCAAGGGAAAGAUGAAAAGACCUUUGAAAAAAGAGUGAAAAGUCUCUGACAUCGCUGGGCGACAAGGGUAAGAGGCUUCACGACAAUUCCUGGAGUUCCAGGUAGUCCGCGUCGUCUCGUGCCAUCUGCAGCGGCCUAACAGUUCUUCUCAGGUUCGCCUGGUGGAAGGCUUUGCCUUGCUACGCAGCGUGGAACGGGACGAAGGAGAACCGGGGAAGCGCUCGGCAGUCUGGCAGACCAAGGGAGCACAAAGCAUCAGUUCCCACGCGGAGCUGGUCUUUGUCUCUCUUGAGCCGUUGUACUGCCGAGAAUGCACCGGAAAAACUGCGGACGUUUGCUGACCUCUUAUCACCCGUCUUGAAACACGG